This 583-nucleotide ribosomal RNA is filed under the name Meyerozyma guilliermondii. Its description in RNAcentral is "partial large subunit ribosomal RNA". It matches the Rfam family "Eukaryotic large subunit ribosomal RNA", at positions 68 to 664 of the family's 3401-position model. Lineage: Eukaryota; Fungi; Ascomycota; Pichiomycetes; Serinales; Debaryomycetaceae. The record is from RNAcentral.
AAAGGCAUUGCUUAGUAGCGGCGAGUGAGCGGCAAAAGCUCAAAUUUGAAAUCUGGCGCCUUCGGUGUCCGAGUUGUAAUUUGAAGAUUGUAACCUUGGGGUUGGCUCUUGUCUAUGUUUCUUGGAACAGGACGUCACAGAGGGUGAGAAUCCCGUGCGAUGAGAUGCCCAAUUCUAUGUAAGGUGCUUUCGAAGAGUCGAGUUGUUUGGGAAUGCAGCUCUAAGUGGGUGGUAAAUUCCAUCUAAAGCUAAAUAUUGGCGAGAGACCGAUAGCGAACAAGUACAGUGAUGGAAAGAUGAAAAGAACUUUGAAAAGAGAGUGAAAAAGUACGUGAAAUUGUUGAAAGGGAAGGGUUUGAGAUCAGACUCGAUAUUUUGUGAGCCUUGCCUUCGUGGCGGGGUGACCCGCAGCUUAUCGGGCCAGCAUCGGUUUGGGCGGUAGGAUAAUGGCGUAGGAAUGUGACUUUACUUCGGUGAAGUGUUAUAGCCUGCGUUGAUGCUGCCUGCCUAGACCGAGGACUGCGAUUUUAUCAAGGAUGCUGGCAUAAUGAUCCCAAACCGCCCGUCUUGAAACACGGGGACC